Molecule: long non-coding RNA, 306 nt
Filed under: Rattus norvegicus (Norway rat)
Lineage: Eukaryota; Metazoa; Chordata; Mammalia; Rodentia; Muridae
Description: long non-coding RNA NONRATT025728
Source: RNAcentral
UGGAGCCUCUGCCGUUACUGCUGGCGAGAGCAGAGGCUGGAAGAGACUCGGAGGAAGUUUGAGGAAGAAAAGUAAAAUUCUCCAUGCAGCUGUGGACUUCAGUUUCUCAACGGCACUGUCUGCUCUGGCUUCUCUUCGGGAAACAGGAAUAUGGGAUUCUCCUCCUCUCUGACAGUCAUCGUCAUCCUAGCUCAUGAGGGUGCCACCAGGGCAGAUAGAGUCAAAACCUGGACCCCGGCAGCCUUAGUGAUCUAGGCCCAUCCCCUCAUCCUCAAUGGGCCAAUUAAAGAGACAAGCAAUAUUAAA